UUGCAGUAGAAAUAGUCCAAACUGUGGAAACUUCUUCCCACAACAUGACCAUGGCCCAAGCUCUUGGGUGGCUGUUGUUGCUUCUCUUCUGUUCCUCUGCUCAGAGUUUUCUCUGGAGACGGACUCGUGGUACCUCUGAGAGCAAAGGGGUGCACCCUACUCGUGUUUAUUCUUUCUGGCAAAAGUUGGACCACUUUAGCAAAAAUUCUUCACAGUUAUGGCUACAGAGAUAUUUUCUUAACGAUGCCUUCUACAAACCUGGAGGGCCAGUAUUUCUGAUGACUGGAGGGGCGUGGAUUGCCCGUGGAUCCUGGAUAUCAAUAAAUAGAACCUGGGUUACAUAUGCUGAGAGAUUGGGUGCCCUCUUCUUAGUCCUGGAACACAGGUUUUAUGGACACAGCCAACCAACAGGAGAUCUGAGUACUGCCAGCCUCCAUUACCUCAGCAGCAGGCAAGCUUUGGCUGACAUUGUGAACU
Loxodonta africana (African savanna elephant) is the source of this 477-nucleotide long non-coding RNA. RefSeq lists it as uncharacterized. The transcript is spliced from 3 exons. NCBI's taxonomy places the organism in Eukaryota, Metazoa, Chordata, Mammalia, Proboscidea, Elephantidae. The record is from RefSeq and is a predicted model, not a curated record.